AUUGAACGCUGGCGGCAUGCUUUACACAUGCAAGUCGGACGGCAGCGGGGUAGUGCUUGCACUACUGCCGGCGAGUGGCGAACGGGUGAGUAAUAUAUUGGAACGUACCGGGUAAUGGGGGAUAACCAAUCGAAAGAUUGGCUAAUACCGCAUACGCUCUGAGGAGGAAAGCAGGGGACCUUCGGGCCUUGCGUUAUUCGAGCGGCCAAUAUCUGAUUAGCUAGUUGGUGGGGUAAAGGCCCACCAAGGCGACGAUCAGUAGUGGGUCUGAGAGGAUGAUCAGUCACACUGGGACUGAGACACGGCCCAGACUCCUACGGGAGGCAGCAGUGGGGAAUUUUGGACAAUGGGCGCAAGCCUGAUCCAGCCAUGCCGCGUGUCUGAAGAAGGCCUUCGGGUUGUAAAGGACUUUUGUUAGGGAAGAAAAAGGAGCGGUUAAUACCCGUUUCUGCUGACGGUACCUAAAGAAUAAGCACCUGCUAACUACGUGCCAGCAGCCGCGGUAAUACGUAGGGUGCGAGCGUUAAUCGGAAUUACUGGGCGUAAAGCGAGCGCAGACGGUUACUUAAGCAGGAUGUGAAAUCCCCGGGCUCAACCUGGGAACUGCGUUCUGAACUGGGUAGCUAGAGUAUGUCAGAGGGGGGUAGAAUUCCACGUGUAGCAGUGAAAUGCGUAGAGAUGUGGAGGAAUACCGAUGGCGAAGGCAGCCCCCUGGGAUAAUACUGACGUUCAUGCUCGAAAGCGUGGGUAGCAAACA
Molecule: ribosomal RNA, 757 nt
Filed under: uncultured beta proteobacterium
Lineage: Bacteria; Pseudomonadati; Pseudomonadota; Betaproteobacteria
Description: bacterial SSU rRNA
Rfam family: Bacterial small subunit ribosomal RNA
Source: RNAcentral